GAAAGGACACUGAAUUGCAGCAGCCAUCCAUGAUGAUGAGAACCAAAUAUGCAUCAUAAAGACGAAAGAGACCUGUUUUCAAGAAGAUGAGAAGGAGACUUGACAGGACUUUAUUGGUUCAUAAAUUAACUUGGUAGAUUUACAAUCAUUACUUGGAAUGCCAGGAACUCUUUUUAGGAACUUAUUUUCAAGAGGGAAGAAAACACGUUUAACUCAGAAUAUGAAAUUGACACCUCAAGCUGCCCAGAAAAAGUCAAAGAGUAACAUGCAGCAGUUCAACAAACAGCUCCAGGCGAUUCCACGCGAGAUGAUCGAAUGGCUGGGACUGAGGGGACAUGCCGGGCGGCUG
Long non-coding RNA from Myotis davidii, 349 nucleotides. RefSeq lists it as uncharacterized. The transcript is spliced from 3 exons. NCBI's taxonomy places the organism in Eukaryota, Metazoa, Chordata, Mammalia, Chiroptera, Vespertilionidae. The record is from RefSeq and is a predicted model, not a curated record.